AUGGGCGUGUUGUGCCGUGACGUACUAGUAAUGGGCGUGUUGUGCCGUGACGUACGAGUAAUGGGCGUGUUGUGCCGUGACGUACGAGUAAUGGGCGUGUUGUGCCGUGGGCGUGUCGUCUUCUGCCGUGUGGCUGCGGCUGCAGAUAGACCUACUUGCUUGUGCCUCUCCUCACGCGGCAACCAUCCAGCGCACCUUCUGCAUCCCCUCGACCCAGCCACACCCCCCCCCCACACCUCUCUCCUCUUCUCCCCUUCUCCCUUUCUACCCUUCUCCCCGGGCGUAUUUGCCAGGAUUACCGCUCCGUCCAGCGGAGCUCUCGGCGAAGAACCGCGGGGAGGCGAUGGAGCGACGGCAGGACUGACAACGGCAAAACGGGCACAGGCAGUGCCCAAACCGUAUGGGUUGACAUGACAUUAAAAAGUACAUUUGCAGUGGUCAAACAUUCCAUGGCCAGCAAGUAAAUGUCACGAUGACAUCACCCCAUAAACCGUAUCUGGAGGAGGUGGGCCUGACUGAGCCCCAGGACACUGCAAAACCACCAACACCUGUGACCUGCAACCAUUGGACUGCACUAGCUGUCAAUCACUCAUCAGCCAAGCACGUUGAGUAGUUCUUGACCUGUUAAAUCUCAAAGUAGACAUCAUUAGACGAUGCCUAUGUGGGAGUGAUAUCACUCCUAGGGCUGGGCGAUAUAUCGAGUUUUUAAAUGAUAUAUUUCCAAACACGAUAUAUGAUAAGACAAUAUUGUGUAUAUCAAGAUUUUUGUUGCUUUAAAAAAACUGUAAGACAGGGAUGCAUUCUCCAGAGAUUGGGGAGAUUUGGUUAACACACAUUUGUCUGGUUUAAAAUGUAUAGAGGAAACAGGAAAUCCCAGGAGUUUCCAGGAGUCUAUGGAUGAGCUGUAAAUUAAAUGUUAUUUAGCAUUAUUGUUAGUUUGUUAGUUUUGUUACUUUUGUUAUCAUGCAAUAUACAUGCAAUAUACAUAAAAUAUCAUAUAUUCAUCUCCUCAUCAGUCCAGAGAAGAGUGACCUUUUGGGGUUAUACUCUCUGUUAGGACUCAUGAGGACUUAGUUCAGUUGCUGCAUUCUCUGUACUGCGGAAGAAAUAUAGAACAAUGGUCAACUUCAUUCUGUCAGUCUCACUUUCAUUCAUGCAUAUGUGUCAAAUCUAUUUUUAAUACUUAUAAAAGUAUAUUAAUACAAACAUUAUUAACAACAACAAUAACAAUUUGUCUUUUUUAAUGACAAUAGUACCACAUGACUGUUUUAAUUCAAUUCAAUUCAAUUCAAUUUUAUUUGUAUAGUGCCAUAUCACAACAUACAUUGUCUCAAGCCACUUUACAUAGUGAGGUCAAUAUUACAAUAUUACAAGGAAAACCCAACAAAUCCCACAAUGAGCAAAGCACUUGGCGACGGUGGAGAGAAAAACUCCCUUUUAACAGGAAGAAAUCUCUGACAGAACCAGACUCAGUUGUGGGCGGUCAUCUGUCUCGACCGGUUGGGGUGAGGAGAGAGAGGAGGAAGAGAGGAGAGGUGGGCAGAAAGAGGGUGGGAGGAGAGACAGUAGGAGAGAAGAGAGAGAGAGGACAGUUGUACAACCGCCGCUUUAAUCUCUACCAGACUGAUACUUAUAAUUAAAAAAUACAAUUAUGUUGUUGUUAUUAUUAGUGAUGAUAUUAAUAUUAUUAAUAAUAAUAAUAAUAACAAUAAUAAUGACAGGUUUGUGUCCUGCAGCUCUGGGGUCAGAGAUACACUAGGAGAGAUAGAAAACACAAACAGGGUUAGUGACAUGUACUGUAAACAUAUCGGGGGAUAGGGGGGUUGUAUAACAGUUGCUUUAAUUUCUACCAGACUGAUACUUAUAAUUAGUGAAAACUGACACUUAUAAAUACAAUGAUGUUAUUAAUAAUAAUAAUAGUAAUUAUAAUAAUGACGGGUUUGGAUCCUGCAGCUCUGGGGUCAGAACUACAAGAAGAGAGAGAAAACAGAGUUAGUGACAUGUAAUGUAGAUACAUGGGGGCAGAGAGAGAGAGAGAGAGAUUGAAAAAAGUGGAAGAAGGAGAGAGAGAUAAAGAGAGAGAGGGAGAAGGAGAGAACGAGAGAGGGAGAAAGAUGCUCAUGAUAUAAGUUCCCCCAGCAGUCUAGGUCUAUAACAGCAUAAUAAAGGAAUGGUUUAUUAAACACCUGAGCAGUUCUAACUAUAACCUUUAUCAAAGAGGAAGGUUUUAAGUUUAACUUUAAAUGUAGACAGGGUAUCUGCCUCCCUGACACAAACUGGGAGCUGGUUCCAGAGGAGAGGAGCCUGGUGGCUGAAGGCUCUGCCUCCCAUUCUAUUUUACAGACUCUGGGAACCACAAGUAGUCAAGUAGUAAGUGAUCUAUUGGGAUAAUAUGAAACUAUGAGCUCUGUAAGAUAUGAUGGAGCUUGAUUAUUAAGGGCUUUGUAGGUUAGGAGCAGUAUUUUGAAUUCUAUUCUGAAUUUUACAGGAAGCCAAUGCAGAGAUUCUAACACUGGAGAAAUAUGAUCUCUUUUUCUAGUUCCUGUCAGAACUCGUUCUGCGGCAUUUUGGAUUAACUGGAGGCUUUUCACAGACUUAUUGGGGCAUCCUAGCAGUAAUGAAUUACAGUAGUCCAGUCUAGAAGUAACAAAUGCAUGGACUAGUUUUUCAGCAUCCUUUUGAGAUAGGAUGUUUCUAAUGUUCUAAUUACUGCCUAAGUUUUUGCAUGUUUUUCUAUGCCUUCCUGUAUUUUUACCAAAGAGAUUCUUUCGCACACUAGAUCAGGAGAUCAAUACAUUUAUAUGGGGAGGCAAGGUCCCUAGGAUCAGUAAAGCAGUUUUGCAGAAGCCAAGGAAUAGGGGUGGCCUUGGUCUCCCUAAUUUCAUGCACUAUUAUUGGGCUGCCAACAUACACAAACUUGUUUACUGGCUAAAAAAUCCUGAUGCAGACUGAUGUAACCUAGAAGCCCAGUCAUGUCAUUCAUCUUCCUUAUAUGCACUGGUCUUUUCCUCUCUCCCUCUUUCCCCAUCCCGUCAUUCGUCAAACCCUCUGGUACAAUCCACUUUAAAAAUAUGGAUACAAUUCCGCCGCCACUUCAAGUUUUCCUCAGCCUCUUUUCUAGGGCAUAUUGGUGGCAACCAUCUAUUUGCUCCCUCCAUUUUGGACUCAACCUUUACUCUCUGGGCCAGGCUAGGCCUUAAAUGCUUCAAAGGCCUCUUUGUGGAUGGUAUUUUUCCUAGUUUCAACACUUUAUGUCUUAAAUUUAAUAUGCCACGCACACAUUUUUUCCGUUACCUUCAGGUCCGUAACUUUGUGCGCACAAAAUCCAAUUCCUUCCCCAGCCUCCCUCAGGAACUACAAUGGGAGAGCCUUUUUGAGCUAUCUCCUACCCAGAAGGGACUUAUAUCUGUAAUUUAUCAACGC
RNAcentral lists this long non-coding RNA (3423 nucleotides) under Scophthalmus maximus (turbot). RNAcentral's name for it is "lncRNA (ENSSMAG00000023752.1)". Lineage: Eukaryota; Metazoa; Chordata; Actinopteri; Pleuronectiformes; Scophthalmidae. The record is from RNAcentral.